This is a small nuclear RNA of Jaculus jaculus (lesser Egyptian jerboa), 107 nucleotides long. The record is from Ensembl. NCBI's taxonomy places the organism in Eukaryota, Metazoa, Chordata, Mammalia, Rodentia, Dipodidae.
GUGCUUGCUUUGGCAGCACAUUAACUAAAAUUGGAACUAUACGGAGAAGAUUAGCAUGAGCCCUGCGCAAGAAUGACAGGUCGAUUCGAGAUAAUAGGAAGGGACUA